UACAGAGGGUGCGAGCGUUAAUCGGAAUUACUGGGCGUAAAGCGUGCGUAGACGGUUAUUUAAGUCGGGUGUGAAAGCCCCGGGCUCAACCUGGGAAUUGCAUUCGAGACUGAAUAGCUAGGGUGCGGUAGAGGGAAGCGGAAUUUCCGGUGUAGCGGUGAAAUGCGUAGAUAUCGGAAGGAACAUCAGUGGCGAAAGCGGCUUCCUGGACCAGUACCGACGUUCAGGCACGAAAGCGUGGGGAGCAAACAGG
Molecule: ribosomal RNA, 253 nt
Filed under: uncultured bacterium
Lineage: Bacteria
Description: partial 16S ribosomal RNA
Rfam family: Bacterial small subunit ribosomal RNA
Source: RNAcentral